CCUACGGGAGGCAGCAGUGAGGAAUAUUGGUCAAUGGGCGCGAGCCUGAACCAGCCAAGUCGCGUGAGGGAAGAGGGUCCUAUGGAUUGUAAACCUCUUUUGUCGGGGAGCAAGGCCCGCCACGUGUGGCGGGAAGGAGAGUACCCGAAGAAAAAGCAUCGGUUAACCCCUUGCAAGCAGCCGCGGUAAUACGGAGGAUGCGAGCGUUUUCCGGAUUUAUUGGGUUUAAAGGGUGGGGAGGCGGAAGGUUAAGUCAGCGGUAAAAUGUCGGUGCUCAACACCGGCCUGCCGUUGAAACUGGUCUUCUUGAGUGAGCGAGAAGUAUGCGGAAUGCGUGGUGUAGCGGUGAAAUGCAUAGAUAUCACGCAGAACUCCGAUUGCGAAGGCAGCAUACCGGCGCUCAACUGACGCUGAGGCACGAAAGCGUGGGGAUCGAACAGGAUUAGAUACCCCUGUAGUC
RNAcentral lists this ribosomal RNA (460 nucleotides) under uncultured bacterium. RNAcentral describes it as "partial 16S ribosomal RNA". It matches the Rfam family "Bacterial small subunit ribosomal RNA", at positions 338 to 795 of the family's 1533-position model. The record is from RNAcentral.